RNAcentral lists this ribosomal RNA (379 nucleotides) under uncultured eukaryote. RNAcentral describes it as "partial 18S ribosomal RNA". It matches the Rfam family "Eukaryotic small subunit ribosomal RNA", at positions 592 to 976 of the family's 1831-position model. The record is from RNAcentral.
CAAUAGCGUAUAUUUAAGUUGUUGUAGUUAAAAAGCUCGUAGUUGGAUUUUGGGUCGGGGGCACCGGUCCGCCGUUCCGGUGUGCACUGGUGGCCCCUUCCUUUCUGCCGGGGACGUGCGUCGCACUUAAUUGGGUGGCGUUCGGAGUCGGCGUUGUUACUUUGAAAAAAUUAGAGUGUUCAAAGCAAGCCAUCGCUCUGAAUACAUUAGCAUGGAAUAACAUGAUAGGACUCCGGUCUUAUUUUGUUGGUUUCCGAGACUGGAGUAAUGAUUAAGAGGGACAGUCGGGGGCAUCCGUAUUUCAUUGUCAGAGGUGAAAUUCUUGGAUUUAUGAAAGACGAACUUCUGCGAAAGCAUUUGCCAAGGAUGUUUUCAUUAA